Molecule: ribosomal RNA, 253 nt
Filed under: uncultured bacterium
Lineage: Bacteria
Description: partial 16S ribosomal RNA
Rfam family: Bacterial small subunit ribosomal RNA
Source: RNAcentral
GACAGAGGGUGCAAACGUUGCUCGGAAUUACUGGGCGUAAAGCGCGUGUAGGCGGAUUUGUGUGUCAGAUGUGAAAUCCCUGGGCUCAACCCAGGAACUGCAUUUGAAACUGCAAGUCUAGAGUGGUGAAGAGGGAAGCGGAAUUCCUGGUGUAGAGGUGAAAUUCGUAGAUAUCAGGAGGAACACCGGUGGCGAAAGCGGCUUCCUGGGCACAUACUGACGCUAAGACGCGAAAGCGUGGGGAGCAAACAGG